CGCACCUUGCGCUCCUUGGUAUUCCGAGGAGCACGCCUGUUUGAGUGUCGUGUAACUCUCAACCUACAAGUCCUUUGCGACUUUGUUAGGCUUGGAUAUUGGAGGUCCUUGUCGGCUUUUCUUAUAAAGUCGGCUCCUCUUAAAUGCAUUAGCUUGAUUCCCUUGCGGAUCGGCUCUCGGUGUGAUAAGUUGUCUACGCCGCGACCGUGAAGCGUUUUGGCAAGCUUCUAAUCGUCUCUUACUUAUGAGACAAUACACUUUGACAUCUGACCUCAAAUCAGGCGGGACUACCCGCUGAACUUAA
This 304-nucleotide unclassified non-coding RNA is filed under the name Polyporales sp. RNAcentral describes it as "partial contains 5.8S ribosomal RNA, internal transcribed spacer 2, and large subunit ribosomal RNA". The record is from RNAcentral. Lineage: Eukaryota; Fungi; Basidiomycota; Agaricomycetes; Polyporales.